RNAcentral lists this transfer RNA (75 nucleotides) under Anaerocolumna jejuensis. RNAcentral's name for it is "tRNA-Pro". It matches the Rfam family "tRNA". From Rfam's summary of the family: Transfer RNA (tRNA) molecules are approximately 80 nucleotides in length. Lineage: Bacteria; Bacillati; Bacillota; Clostridia; Lachnospirales; Lachnospiraceae. RNAcentral also lists the same sequence under 1 other name. The record is from RNAcentral.
CGGGGUGUGGCGCAGCUUGGCUAGCGUGCUUGAUUUGGGAUCAAGAGGUCGCAGGUUCGAAUCCUGUCACCCCGA